This is a microRNA precursor of Drosophila grimshawi, 72 nucleotides long. It matches the Rfam family "mir-6 microRNA precursor family". From Rfam's summary of the family: This family consists of the microRNA (miRNA) precursor mir-6 which appears to be Drosophila specific. Animal miRNAs are transcribed as ~70nt precursors and subsequently processed by the Dicer enzyme to give a ~22nt product. The record is from Rfam. NCBI's taxonomy places the organism in Eukaryota, Metazoa, Arthropoda, Insecta, Diptera, Drosophilidae.
AUGUAAAGAGAAUAGAUGCUGUGCUGUAUGUUGAACGUAUUGUCUAUAUCACAGUGGCUGUUCUUUUUGUAC